Molecule: ribosomal RNA, 491 nt
Filed under: uncultured bacterium
Lineage: Bacteria
Description: partial 16S ribosomal RNA
Rfam family: Bacterial small subunit ribosomal RNA
Source: RNAcentral
AGUGAACGCUGGCGGUAGGCCUAACACAUGCAAGUCGAACGGCAGCACAGUAAGAGCUUGCUCUUACGGGUGGCGAGUGGCGGACGGGUGAGGAAUACAUCGGAAUCUACUUUUUCGUGGGGGAUAACGUAGGGAAACUUACGCUAAUACCGCAUACGACCUACGGGUGAAAGCAGGGGAUCUUCGGACCUUGCGCGAUUGAAUGAGCCGAUGUCGGAUUAGCUAGUUGGCGGGGUAAAGGCCCACCAAGGCGACGAUCCGUAGCUGGUCUGAGAGGAUGAUCAGCCACACUGGAACUGAGCCACGGUCCAGACUCCACGGGAGGCAGCAGUGGGGAAUAUUGGACAAUGGGCGCAAGCCUGAUCCAGCCAUACCGCGUGGGUGAAGAAGGCCUUCGGGUUGUAAAGCCCUUUUGUUGGGAAAGAAAAGCAGCAGGUUAAUACCCCGCUGUUCUGACGGUACCCAAAGAAUAAGCACCGGCUAACUUCGUG